This 58-nucleotide microRNA precursor is filed under the name Branchiostoma lanceolatum (amphioxus). RNAcentral describes it as "Bla-Mir-92-o7_pre stem-loop". The record is from RNAcentral. Lineage: Eukaryota; Metazoa; Chordata; Leptocardii; Amphioxiformes; Branchiostomatidae.
CAAGGCAAAUAGCUGCAAUCCUUUAUAUUUAUCAAGUAUUGCACUUUUUUGCUUUGAA